This 428-nucleotide ribosomal RNA is filed under the name bacterium. RNAcentral describes it as "partial 16S ribosomal RNA". It matches the Rfam family "Bacterial small subunit ribosomal RNA", at positions 355 to 776 of the family's 1533-position model. The record is from RNAcentral.
UAGGGAAUCUUCCACAAUGGACGCAAGUCUGAUGGAGCAACGCCGCGUGAGUGAAGAAGGUUUUCGGAUCGUAAAGCUCUGUUGUUGGUGAAGAAGGAUAGAGGCAGUAACUGGUCUUUAUUUGACGGUAAUCAACCAGAAAGUCACGGCUAACUACGUGCCAGCAGCCGCGGUAAUACGUAGGUGGCAAGCGUUGUCCGGAUUAUUGGGCGUAAAGCGAGCGCAGGCGGAAUGAUAAGCCUGAUGUGAAAGCCCACGGCUCAACCGUGGAACUGCAUCGGAAACUGUCAUUCUUGAGUGCAGAAGAGUAGAGUGGAAUUCCAUGUGUAGCGGUGGAAUGCGUAGAUAUAUGGAAGAACACCAGUGGCGAAGGCGGCUCUCUGGUCUGCAACUGACGCUGAGGCUCGAAAGCAUGGGUAGCGAACAGG